CGCAAGGAUGAGAAAAACCAGGUGACCAGUUCCAACUACAGUGCCCCCUUGCAACUGAUGGUCACAGGUGUGGCCCCUUCACAGUGUGGGCAGGGGAAAGGGCUCAAGUGGAGGAUAUCCGGCAUUUAGUAGAUUAUUCCUCCCCCACCCGGCCAUAUCAGGCUUGUUUGUAACAUUUUCUGCCCCCAAAGCUGUGCUUUCAAUAGGAAAACAGCUGUGUUCUGUACUAGAAUCAGCUAACUCGAGGUAAAACUGCAGUGAAGACAGGACAGUUUGGAGAUGUCACGUGUUAGCAGGCCGAGUUUUGGCUACAGGGGAGCCAGGAGCCAGACAUGCAAAGGUAUUCAUGGUAGAUGCAGACCCCAAUUUAACUCAUUCCUAGCUAAGACACUGUGAUAUUUCUUGUGUUUAUUGACCAGACAGAAAGGCUCUCCUCGAUGGCAGCAGAGUCACUGACCAGCCUGAGAAAACUCCACCUCACAAAGGCCAGAAGCUGAUCGCAAGCACCAGCCUCAGCCCUGAGGAUCCACCGUCUCAGGCAGGUGCUGGGGUUACAGGCCAGGAGUUCUGCAACUCCCCAGGUGAAUGUGUGAGCACAAGACAUGGGA
Molecule: long non-coding RNA, 608 nt
Organism: Chelonia mydas (Green sea turtle)
Lineage: Eukaryota; Metazoa; Chordata; Testudines; Cheloniidae
Exons: 3
Source: RefSeq, a predicted model, not a curated record